Molecule: ribosomal RNA, 531 nt
Filed under: uncultured bacterium
Lineage: Bacteria
Description: bacterial SSU rRNA
Rfam family: Bacterial small subunit ribosomal RNA
Source: RNAcentral
ACGCAAUAGAUACCCAGGUAGUCCACGCCCUAAACGAUGCAUAUUUGGUGUGGGCCAUUCAUUUGGUCCGUGCCGGAGCUAACGCGUUAAAUAUGCCGCCUGGGGAGUACAGUCGCAAGGCUGAAACUCAAAGGAAUUGACGGGGGCCCGCACAAGCGGUGGAGCAUGUGGUUUAAUUCGACGCAACGCGAAGAACCUUACCUGGGCUCGAAAUGCUGCUGACCAGCUUACGAAAGUAGGCCUUCCCGCAAGGGACAGUAGUAUAGGUGCUGCAUGGCUGUCGUCAGCUCGUGUCGUGAGAUGUUGGGUUAAGUCCCGCAACGAGCGCAACCCUUGUCCUGUGUUGCCAUCAUUUAGUUGGGAACUCGCAGGAGACCGCCAGGGAUAACCUGGAGGAAGGUGGGGAUGUCGUCAAGUCCUCAUGGCCUUUAUGUCCAGGGCUACACACGUGCUACAAUGGACGGUACAAAGCGCUGCCAACCCGCGAGGGGGAGCCAAUCGCAAAAAACCGUUCUCAGUUCGGAUUGCAGG